GAAAUUUUACAGUAUUUACUCAAGAAGAGUUAGAUAAGGAAGGGGUUGGCCAGAAAUAUUAACCUAAUUUUAUCAUGUUUAUUCACAUUUUUAAGGGUUGAAUUAUUUAUAUAUAUUAUUGGAUGCCUAAUUGACUUUAAAUAGGUGCCGAUUUGACUAGAUGUCGAUUUAACCAGGUGCCGAUUUGACUUUUUCUAUUGGUGCCGAUUUGACUUGUACCCUAUUAUUAAGGCCCUAAAGUGAGUUUGAAUAUUGUACGGUGUUUUACUUGGCGGAAUGUCAAUACACUCACAGUAAGAGUUAUUCUUUACUUGCUUUUCCACAAUAAUUGUUUCGUGGUAUUCUUUGAAUUUCUCGGCAGUUAUGGUUCUCUUCGGACAUGCUUUUAAGAGGAAUUCGUCUGGUUCAAUAGCGUGAAUCAGCCCCUCAACUUCUUUGUACAUAAAUACUAACUUUGGCUUCAACGCCUUGUUUCGUCCUUGUCUGGAGAUCUUGUUGUAGUUCCAGUUUGGCAAGCAUUUUGGAGACUUAUCCAUCCUCUUUUGACUUGUAAUCUCUGGUGAUAAAUUUUGCCGCUUGACAUGUUUAUUUUUGUUACCGGAGUAGGGGUCGCAUACGAUGGCUCCAUAUUAAAUUAUGAGAUCAAUUCCUAAAGGUCUAGUUCAUUAUCCAAUCUGACACAAAUUUCAAUAACUGGAAUGCCACCCAAGAUGAAUAUAUGGUGACCCACUAUAACAGCAUAAUUACUUGGAAUUGUGUUUAAUACCAUGAUGGUUCAAUGGCAUAAACUUAAAUGGAGACAAAAUUUAACAUGAAAGAUUGUGGAUUAG
Molecule: long non-coding RNA, 830 nt
Filed under: Mytilus galloprovincialis (Mediterranean mussel)
Lineage: Eukaryota; Metazoa; Mollusca; Bivalvia; Mytilida; Mytilidae
Source: RNAcentral